CGGACCAAACGGGGCUUCGGCUCCGGCGCAAAGAGAGGCCCAAGUGAGAUUAGCUAGUUGGUAAGGUAAAGGCUUACCAAGGCGACGAUCUCUAGCUGUUCUGAGAGGAAGAUCAGCCACACUGGGACUGAGACACGGCCCAGACUCCUACGGGAGGCAGCAGUGGGGAAUAUUGCACAAUGGGGGAAACCCUGAUGCAGCCAUGCCGCGUGUGUGAAGAAGGCCUUCGGGUUGUAAAGCACUUUCAGUUGUGAGGAAAAGUUAGUAGUUAAUACCUGCUAGCCGUGACGUUAACAACAGAAGAAGCACCGGCUAACUCCGUGCCAGCAGCCGCGGUAAUACGGAGGGUGCGAGCGUUAAUCGGAAUUACUGGGCGUAAAGCGCACGCAGGCGGUUUGUUAAGCUAGAUGUGAAAGCCCCGGGCUCAACCUGGGAUGGUCAUUUAGAACUGGCAGACUAGAGUCUUGGAGAGGGGAGUGGAAUUCCAGGUGUAGCGGUGAAAUGCGUAGAUAUCUGGAGGAACAUCAGUGGCGAAGGCGACUCCCUGGCCAAAGACUGACGCUCAUGUGCGAAAGUGUGGGUAGCGAACAGGAUUAGAUACCCUGGUAGUCCACACCGUAAACGCUGUCUACUAGCUGUUUGUGACUUUAAGUCGUGAGUAGCGAAGCUAACGCGCUAAGUAGACCGC
Molecule: ribosomal RNA, 688 nt
Filed under: Alteromonas sp. MED604
Lineage: Bacteria; Pseudomonadati; Pseudomonadota; Gammaproteobacteria; Alteromonadales; Alteromonadaceae
Description: bacterial SSU rRNA
Rfam family: Bacterial small subunit ribosomal RNA
Source: RNAcentral